CCUCUUCUUCUUUGUUCCCCUCUGUAUCUUCUCUUUUCUUUCCUAAACCAGCUUAUCUUAUUCAAACCACAGACAUCUCUGCCUUUCCAGUUUUCCUCAAACAACUUAUCUCAUUCAAAAUUCAAAUUCAUUAUUUCCCCAAAACAGAUCUCCAAAACAAAUUCCAAAACCCAAAGAGAGAAGAGAUGAAAGUUGAAGGGAUUCAGGCGAUUUGGUUUUAAUCUACUCAUUCGGAUCCGAUUUGGUGCCUUCACUCGAUUAGCAAUCAUCGGCGUUUCACUGUAUCUGGUGAAAGUAGUGAAAUCAAAUCAGAGAUGGAUAGGGUUUCCAUUAGUGAUCUCCCGUUGGAUGUUCCUUCAAGAACAGGUUUGUAUGUCUCAUCUACGAUCAGAUCUGCAUCAACAGUAGGCGUUUUCGGUAGAGAUGAAAUUCCAGCACUGAUCACGAUUACCUGUGCCUGAUUUGGUGGGGUUAAACCCAUACUGCAGCGUCAUAUCAGAUUCCGGUCAGGCUAGGGUUCCAGUGAGUACUUAGUGCCUCACGACUACUCUGGCUACGACCUUGGUUUUCCGGCGACUAGCGGUUUAAUUCCGGUGAAUAGAUACCAAACCAAAAAGGCUUGAUAACAAAACCAGUGAUGAAGAGCAGUCAGACUAACCAUAGAUUGAAACAGCCAAUGUGAACAGAGCAACUCUAAAGUGGAUGUUAAAAGGAUUAAUAGGGAUGCAGCUGCUCUUGCUGAAUUUUUGUCUUGGCUGGAGGAGGAAAUAAACAAAGACAUGCCUGUCACAGAGGUAGAAGUUGCAGACGAACUUCAUGAGCUUUGCACAAGUCUAGCUGGUUGUUAAGAGAAAAAAAUGAACUAAAAUUCAUUUUUUAUGGUAUUUGGAUCCAUGUUCUUUAAAGAUGAUUGAAAUGUUUAAUGGAUUUUUGGCAACAAGAAAAUAAUUAAGCUCAUGCGCCAUUGCCGUUGAAAAGCUAUGCAGUUACUAUUUACCUUUUUGUAUACAGUUUAACUGUUUAUACACAUCUUUCUGUUCUGCGUGUAUUAUAUACCCUGAUA
RNAcentral lists this long non-coding RNA (1063 nucleotides) under Helianthus annuus (common sunflower). RNAcentral describes it as "sRNA HanXRQr2_Chr11g0504411". The record is from RNAcentral. Lineage: Eukaryota; Viridiplantae; Streptophyta; Magnoliopsida; Asterales; Asteraceae.